This 817-nucleotide ribosomal RNA is filed under the name Streptomyces sp. Its description in RNAcentral is "bacterial SSU rRNA". It matches the Rfam family "Bacterial small subunit ribosomal RNA", at positions 74 to 875 of the family's 1533-position model. Lineage: Bacteria; Bacillati; Actinomycetota; Actinomycetes; Kitasatosporales; Streptomycetaceae. The record is from RNAcentral.
GGGAGCUUGCUCCCGGAUGUUAGCGGCGGACGGGUGAGUAACACGUGGGUAACCUGCCUGUAAGACUGGGAUAACUCCGGGAAACCGGAGCUAAUACCGGAUAGUUCCUUGAACCGCAUGGUUCAAGGAUGAAAGACGGUUUCGGCUGUCACUUACAGAUGGACCCGCGGCGCAUUAGCUAGUUGGUGGGGUAAUGGCUCACCAAGGCGACGAUGCGUAGCCGACCUGAGAGGGUGAUCGGCCACACUGGGACUGAGACACGGCCCAGACUCCUACGGGAGGCAGCAGUAGGGAAUCUUCCGCAAUGGACGAAAGUCUGACGGAGCAACGCCGCGUGAGUGAUGAAGGUUUUCGGAUCGUAAAGCUCUGUUGUUAGGGAAGAACAAGUGCGAGAGUAACUGCUCGCACCUUGACGGUACCUAACCAGAAAGCCACGGCUAACUACGUGCCAGCAGCCGCGGUAAUACGUAGGUGGCAAGCGUUGUCCGGAAUUAUUGGGCGUAAAGGGCUCGCAGGCGGUUUCUUAAGUCUGAUGUGAAAGCCCCCGGCUCAACCGGGGAGGGUCAUUGGAAACUGGGAAACUUGAGUGCAGAAGAGGAGAGUGGAAUUCCACGUGUAGCGGUGAAAUGCGUAGAGAUGUGGAGGAACACCAGUGGCGAAGGCGACUCUCUGGUCUGUAACUGACGCUGAGGAGCGAAAGCGUGGGGAGCGAACAGGAUUAGAUACCCUGGUAGUCCACGCCGUAAACGAUGAGUGCUAAGUGUUAGGGGGUUUCCGCCCCUUAGUGCUGCAGCUAACGCAUUAAGCACUCCGCCUG